RNAcentral lists this ribosomal RNA (653 nucleotides) under Bacillus sp. UST050418-135. Its description in RNAcentral is "bacterial SSU rRNA". It matches the Rfam family "Bacterial small subunit ribosomal RNA", at positions 40 to 674 of the family's 1533-position model. Lineage: Bacteria; Bacillati; Bacillota; Bacilli; Caryophanales; Bacillaceae. The record is from RNAcentral.
CGGCGUGCUAUACACGCAGUUUAGCGAAUGGAUUAAGAGCUUGCUCUUAUGAAGUUAGCGGCGGACGGGUGAGUAACACGUGGGUAACCUGCCCAUAAGACUGGGAUAACUCCGGGAAACCGGGGCUAAUACCGGAUAACAUUUUGAACCGCAUGGUUCGAAAUUGAAAGGCGGCUUCGGCUGUCACUUAUGGAUGGACCCGCGUCGCAUUAGCUAGUUGGUGAGGUAACGGCUCACCAAGGCAACGAUGCGUAGCCGACCUGAGAGGGUGAUCGGCCACACUGGGACUGAGACACGGCCCAGACUCCUACGGGAGGCAGCAGUAGGGAAUCUUCCGCAAUGGACGAAAGUCUGACGGAGCAACGCCGCGUGAGUGAUGAAGGCUUUCGGGUCGUAAAACUCUGUUGUUAGGGAAGAACAAGUGCUAGUUGAAUAAGCUGGCACCUUGACGGUACCUAACCAGAAAGCCACGGCUAACUACGUGCCAGCAGCCGCGGUAAUACGUAGGUGGCAAGCGUUAUCCGGAAUUAUUGGGCGUAAAGCGCGCGCAGGUGGUUUCUUAAGUCUGAUGUGAAAGCCCACGGCUCAACCGUGGAGGGUCAUUGGAAACUGGGAGACUUGAGUGCAAGAAGAGGAAAAGUGGAAUUCCAUGU